This 394-nucleotide ribosomal RNA is filed under the name uncultured bacterium. RNAcentral's name for it is "partial 16S ribosomal RNA". It matches the Rfam family "Bacterial small subunit ribosomal RNA", at positions 523 to 918 of the family's 1533-position model. The record is from RNAcentral.
AUACGUAGGGAGCGAGCGUUGUCCGGAAUUACUGGGCGUAAAGGGCGCGUAGGCGGCGCUUCAAGUCGUCUGUCAAAUGGAAGGGCUUAACCCUUUUUCGCAGACGAAACUGGAGAGCUUGAGAAGCAGAGAGGCAAACAGAAUUCCUGGUGUAGCGGUGAAAUGCGUAGAUAUCAGGAAGAAUACCAGUGGCGAAGGCGGUUUGCUGGCUGCAUACUGACGCUGAAGCGCGAAAGCCAGGGGAGCGAACGGGAUUAGAUACCCCGGUAGUCCUGGCAGUAAACGAUGUAUGCUGGGUGUGAGACUAGCGAUAGUUUCGUGCCGAAGUUAACGCGAUAAGCAUACCGCCUGGGGAGUACGGUCGCAAGAUUGAAACUUAAAGGAAUUGACGGGG